RNAcentral lists this ribosomal RNA (253 nucleotides) under uncultured bacterium. Its description in RNAcentral is "partial 16S ribosomal RNA". It matches the Rfam family "Bacterial small subunit ribosomal RNA", at positions 524 to 776 of the family's 1533-position model. The record is from RNAcentral.
UACGUAGGGGGCAAGCGUUGUCCGGAUUUAUUGGGCGUAAAGAGCGUGUAGGCGGUCUGGUAGGUCCGUUGUGAAAACUCUGGGCUCAACCCAGAGCCUGCAUCCGAAACUGGAGUGCUAGAGUUCUGGAGGGGGUAGCGGAAUUCCUGGUGUAGCGGUGAAAUGCGUAGAUAUCAGGAGGAACACCGGUGGCGAAGGCGGCUACCUGGACAGAAACUGACGCUGAGGCGCGAAAGCUAGGGGAGCAAACAGG